GCCGGGGUGGGCGGCACGCACGAGGUUGCCCCACUCCUGCGGGGUGUGGCUGACGGUGCCGCCGGCGCAGGCGCUGUUCCACUCGGAGCCGUCGGUG
Molecule: transfer RNA, 97 nt
Filed under: Streptomyces olivaceoviridis
Lineage: Bacteria; Bacillati; Actinomycetota; Actinomycetes; Kitasatosporales; Streptomycetaceae
Description: tRNA-Arg
Source: RNAcentral